UGGGUCCCAAUCGUUUAGGGRGAAAAAAUUAGAGUGUUCAAAGCAGGCAGAUCCAAUUUUCUGCCACCGAAUACAUUAGCAUGGGAUAAUGGAAUAGGACCCUGUCCUCCUAUUUUCAGUUGGUUUGCCGCGAGGACCAGGGUAAUGAUUAAUAGGGAUAGUUGGGGGCAUUAAUAUUUAAUUGUCAGAGGUGAAAUUCUUGGAUUUAUGAAAGAUUAACUUCUGCGAAAGCAUCUGCCAAGGAUGUUUUCAUUAAUCAAGAACGAAAGUUAGGGGAUCGAAGACGAUCAGAUACCGUCGUAGUCUUAACCAUAAACGAUGCCGACCAGCGAUUAGGAGACGUUGAAUACAAAACACCACCAUGCGCAUUGCGGUCGUCUUUGGG
Molecule: ribosomal RNA, 385 nt
Filed under: Acanthamoeba sp.
Lineage: Eukaryota; Discosea; Longamoebia; Acanthamoebidae
Description: SSU rRNA
Rfam family: Eukaryotic small subunit ribosomal RNA
Source: RNAcentral